AAGGGACCUUGCGUAGUUCGGAAUUACUGGGCUUAAAGAGUUCGUAGGUGGUUGAAAAAGUUGGUAGUGAAAUCCCAGAGCUUAACUCUGGAACUGCCAUCAAAACUUUUCAGCUAGAGUAUGAUAGAGGAAAGCAGAAUUUCUAGUGUAGAGGUGAAAUUCGUAGAUAUUAGAAAGAAUACCAAUUGCGAAGGCAGCUUUCUGGAUCAUUACUGACACUGAGGAACGAAAGCAUGGGUAGCGAAGAGGAUUAGAUACCCUCGUAGUCCAUGCCGUAAACGAUGUGUGUUAGACGUUGGAAAUUUAUUUUCAGUGUCGCAGGGAAACCGAUAAACACACCGCCUGGGGAGUACGACCGCAAGGUUAAAACUCAAAUGAAUUGACGGGGACCCGCACAAGUAGUGGAGCAUGUGGUUUAAUUCGAAGAUACGCGCAGAACCUUACCAACACUUGACAUGUUCGUCGCGACUCUAAGAGAUUAGAGUUUUCGGUUCGGCCGGACGAAACACAGGUGCUGCAUGGCUGUCGUCGGCUCGUGUCGUGAGAUGUUGGGUUAAGUCCCGCAACGAGCGCAACCCUCACUUUUAGUUGCCAUCAUUAAGUUGGGCACUCUGAAAGAACUGCCAGUGAUAAGCUGGAGGAAGGUGGGGAUGACGUCAAGUCCUCAUGGCCCUUACGUGUUGGGCUACACACGUGCUACAAUGGCAUCUACAACAGGAAGCAAAACGGCAACGUUAAGCAAAUCCCGAAAAGAUGCCUCAGUUCGGAUUGCACUCUGCAACUCGAGUGCAUGAAGCUGGAAUUACUAGUAAUCGUGGAUCAGCGUGCCACGGUGAAUGCGUUCCCGGGUCUUGUACACACCGCCCGUCACACCAUGGGAGUUGGUUCUACCUUAAGGCAAGGUUUUAAACCCUUGACCACGGUAUAGUCAGCGACUGGGGUGAAGUCGUAACAAGGUAGCCGUAGGGGAACCUGCGGCUGGAUUACCUCCUUUCUAAGGAUGAGUGAAAGUAAAAUUUCACUCUAAAUAAUAUACAUCGGUAAUGUUGACCGUCCUCAUUUCUCUUCUUAAAGUAAUGUUUCCUUCUUGUAGGGCCGGUAGCUCGGUUGGUUAGAGCACACCCUUGAUAAGGGUGGGGUCGAAAGUUCGAGUCUUUCUCGGCCCACCAAAAACCUAAAUGGGGGAUUAGCUCAUCUGGGAGAGCGCCUGAUUUGCAUUCAGGAGGUAGCAGGUUCGAUCCCUGUAUCCUCCACCAGGAAACAUUUAGUUAUUUAAACUGUAAAUAAAAAUAAUUUAUAUCAAUAUCUAUAUCCGAACAUUAAAAGUUAUUAUUUAAUGUUCAAAAUAAAAAUUUGAUCACAACAUAGAUAAAUUUUCUGUUAAAAGAAUUUUUUUCUGUGCAUAAAUCAAGCGUUUAAGGGCGUGUAGUGGAUGCCUUGGCACUGAAAGCCGAUGAAGGACGUGAUAUACUGCGAUAAGUUUCGGGGAGUUGUAUGUAAGCUUUGAUCCGAAAAUUU
This 1518-nucleotide small RNA is filed under the name uncultured Arctic sea ice bacterium. RNAcentral's name for it is "bacterial SSU rRNA". The stretch from base 1 to 994 matches the Rfam family "Bacterial small subunit ribosomal RNA", at positions 528 to 1533 of the family's 1533-position model. The record is from RNAcentral.